This 508-nucleotide ribosomal RNA is filed under the name uncultured fungus. RNAcentral's name for it is "SSU rRNA". It matches the Rfam family "Eukaryotic small subunit ribosomal RNA", at positions 569 to 1078 of the family's 1831-position model. Lineage: Eukaryota; Fungi. The record is from RNAcentral.
AGCAGCCGCGGUAAUUCCAGCUCCAAUAGCGUAUAUUAAAGUUGUUGCAGUUAAAAAGCUCGUAGUUGAAUUUCGGGAUCAGCAGGUUGGUCGUGCCUCUGGUAUGCACUGGUUUCGCUGAUUCCUCCUUUCUGAAGAACUGUAAUGUCAUUAAUUUGGUGUUGCAGGGAAACAGGACUGUUACUUUGAAAAAAUUAGAGUGUUUAAAGCAAGCUAACGCUUGAAUACAUUAGCAUGGAAUAAUGAAAUAGGACGUUUGAUCCUAUUUUGUUGGUUUCUAGGAUUGACGUAAUGAUUAAUAGGGAUAGUUGGGGGCAUUAGUAUUCAAUUGUCAGAGGUGAAAUUCUUGGAUUUAUUGAAGACUAACUACUGCGAAAGCAUUUGCCAAGGAUGUUUUCAUUAAUCAAGAACGAAAGUUAGGGGAUCGAAGACGAUCAGAUACCGUCGUAGUCUUAACCAUAAACUAUGCCGACUAGGGAUCGGNUGAUGUUAAUUUUUUAAUGACUCA